UUGGAAGGAGGGUUAAGAAUAACUCAGGAACGGGUCUCAUUCUUUUUGUGGGAAGAAUGACCAGAAGCAUAAAACCUAAAUCUUCCAGUGAGUGCAAGAUAUCUCUUUCGGUGUUUGCUGUUAACCUAACAGAAUGAACUGCUGUCUGUACAAUUUCGUACCAUGACACCUAAAAUGAAGGAAGUGGUAAACCAAAGUAAUAACUCAAAGGCUGCCACGGAUGGCUUUUGUCUACUUUUAACUCAUUGUGGAAAGGUGGAAAGAAUGGAAAUGUCCCUUGUGCAUGGAGAAGGCCUACUUUCAGCAUAUGCAUUAAUCUCUGAUCCACUGAGUGACUGAACUUUCAAGGCAAAGUUAGACAUUCCAAAGAUGGCAUAGAUGAACAUGACCAGGAAGAGCAGGAGGCCGAUGUUAAACAACGCGGGAAGGGACAUCAUCAAUGCAAAGAGCAGAAGCACGCGGAACACGAUCAGGAAGGAAUGGAAGAAGUCGUUCAUGUGCCAGCGAGGAAGCUUACAGUCAGCAUUGAUCUU
Long non-coding RNA from Carlito syrichta (Philippine tarsier), 533 nucleotides. RefSeq lists it as uncharacterized. The transcript has 4 exons. The record is from RefSeq and is a predicted model, not a curated record. NCBI's taxonomy places the organism in Eukaryota, Metazoa, Chordata, Mammalia, Primates, Tarsiidae.